RNAcentral lists this non-coding RNA (199 nucleotides) under Oxyrrhis marina. The record is from RNAcentral. Lineage: Eukaryota; Dinophyceae; Oxyrrhinales; Oxyrrhinaceae.
UCAUGACCAAGUUGAUCGUCCAGAGGCAAGGCCCCACUCUGCCUCCGGUGCCGGAGCGGCUGCGGGGGGCUAUCGCCCAGUGCUUGUCUUUCAGCAGCCAUACAAGAGCUUCCGCACAGGAGGCGUAUCGGAGCUUGAAGGACAGCGAAGCCUACGGGUAGAUUGUAGUGUGUUUUGGCUGGUGCUUACCAGGGCCUGG